GACGAACGCUGGCGGCGUGCUUAACACAUGCAAGUCGAGCGAUGAGAUCCCUUCGGGGAAGGAUUAGCGGCGAACGGGUGAGGAACACGUGAAGAAUCUGCCUUCAACUCUGGGAUAACACCGGGAAACCGGUGCUAAUACCGGAUAUGAGCCUUGAUCGCAUGAUCGGGGCUGGAAAGUUUUUCGGUUGAAGAUGACUUCGCGGCCUAUCAGCUUGUUGGUGAGGUAAUGGCUCACCAAGGCGACGACGGGUAGCCGGCCUGAGAGGGCGACCGGCCACACUGGGACUGAGACACGGCCCAGACUCCUACGGGAGGCAGCAGUGGGGAAUAUUGGGCAAUGGACGAAAGUCUGACCCAGCGACGCCGCGUGAGGGAUGAAGGCCUUCGGGUUGUAAACCUCUUUCAGCAGGGAAGAAGCGAAAGUGACGGUACCUGCAGAAGAAGCACCGGCUAACUAUGUGCCAGCAGCCGCGGUAAUACAUAGGGUGCAAGCGUUGUCCGGAAUUAUUGGGCGUAAAGAGCUCGUAGGUGGUUAGUUACGUCGGAUGUGAAAAUCUAGGGCUCAACCCUAGACCUGCAUCCGAUACGGGCUAGCUUGAGUUUGGUAGGGGAGACUGGAAUUCCUGGUGUAGCGGUGGAAUGCGCAGAUAUCAGGAGGAACACCAAUGGCGAAGGCAGGUCUCUGGGCCAAUACUGACACUGAGGAGCGAAAGUGUGGGGAGCGAACAGGAUUAGAUACCCUGGUAGUCCACACAGUAAACGAUGGGCACUAGUUGUGGGAACCUUCCACGGUUUCUGCGACGCAGCUAACGCAUUAAGUGCCCCGCCUGGGGAGUACGAUCGCAAGAUUAAAACUCAAAGGAAUUGACGGGGCCCCGCA
RNAcentral lists this ribosomal RNA (882 nucleotides) under uncultured Actinomycetales bacterium. RNAcentral's name for it is "bacterial SSU rRNA". It matches the Rfam family "Bacterial small subunit ribosomal RNA", at positions 28 to 925 of the family's 1533-position model. The record is from RNAcentral. Lineage: Bacteria; Bacillati; Actinomycetota; Actinomycetes; Actinomycetales.